Molecule: ribosomal RNA, 441 nt
Filed under: uncultured Anaerolineaceae bacterium
Lineage: Bacteria; Bacillati; Chloroflexota; Anaerolineae; Anaerolineales; Anaerolineaceae
Description: bacterial SSU rRNA
Rfam family: Bacterial small subunit ribosomal RNA
Source: RNAcentral
CCUACGGGUGGCAGCAGUAGGGAAUAUUGGGCAAUGGGCGAAAGCCUGACCCAGCAACGCCGCGUGUGCGAUGAAGGCCUUCGGGCCGUAAAGCACUUUUCUGGGAGAUGAGAAAGGACAGUAUCCCAGGAAUAAGUCUCGGCUAACUACGUGCCAGCAGCCGCGGUAAAACGUAGGAGGCAAGCGUUAUCCGGAUUUACUGGGCGUAAAGCGCGUGCAGGCGGUUUGGUAAGUUGGAUGUGAAAGCUCCUGGCUCAACUGGGAGAGGUCGUUCAAUACUACCAAACUAGAGAGCGGUAGAGGAAGGUGGAAUUCCCGGUGUAGUGGUGAAAUGCGUAGAUAUCGGGAGGAACACCAGUGGCGAAAGCGGCCUUCUGGACCGUUUCUGACGCUCAGACGCGAAAGCUAGGGUAGCAAACGGGAUUAGAUACCCGUGUAGUC